AGCAGUCGCCGCGGUAAUACAGAGGGUGCGAGCGUUAAUCGGAUUUACUGGGCGUAAAGCGUGCGUAGGCGGAUUCUUAAGUCGGAUGUGAAAUCCCUGAGCUUAACUUAGGAAUUGCAUUCGAUACUGGGAAGCUAGAGUAUGGGAGAGGAUGGUAGAAUUCCAGGUGUAGCGGUGAAAUGCGUAGAGAUCUGGAGGAAUACCGAUGGCGAAGGCAGCCAUCUGGCCUAAUACUGACGCUGAGGUACGAAAGCAUGGGGAGCAAACAGGAUUAGAUACCCCCGUAGUCCCUGUCUCUUAUAC
Molecule: ribosomal RNA, 303 nt
Filed under: uncultured bacterium
Lineage: Bacteria
Description: partial 16S ribosomal RNA
Rfam family: Bacterial small subunit ribosomal RNA
Source: RNAcentral